GCUCAUAUAGCUCAAGAAGUGGCAGCAAGCGACUCAUAAUCGCUGGGGUGUGGGUGCAAGUCCUACUGUGAGUACCA
Molecule: transfer RNA, 77 nt
Filed under: Herbiconiux daphne
Lineage: Bacteria; Bacillati; Actinomycetota; Actinomycetes; Micrococcales; Microbacteriaceae
Also listed under: 1 other name
Description: tRNA-Ile
Rfam family: tRNA
About the family: Transfer RNA (tRNA) molecules are approximately 80 nucleotides in length.
Source: RNAcentral